AGCAGUAUGGUGCAACCCUGCACACAGGAUGUUACUGAGCUGUGUGUGUGACACCAAUGUAUUCCUGAGGUCCUUGUUCGAAUCAAGGUGCUGCUC
Molecule: non-coding RNA, 96 nt
Organism: Mycena metata
Lineage: Eukaryota; Fungi; Basidiomycota; Agaricomycetes; Agaricales; Mycenaceae
Source: the annotation of a GenBank genome assembly